Molecule: ribosomal RNA, 550 nt
Filed under: Shigella sonnei
Lineage: Bacteria; Pseudomonadati; Pseudomonadota; Gammaproteobacteria; Enterobacterales; Enterobacteriaceae
Description: partial 23S ribosomal RNA
Rfam family: Bacterial large subunit ribosomal RNA
Source: RNAcentral
GGAGCGUUCUGUAAGCCUGCGAAGGUGUGCUGUGAGGCAUGCUGGAGGUAUCAGAAGUGCGAAUGCUGACAUAAGUAACGAUAAAGCGGGUGAAAAGCCCGCUCGCCGGAAGACCAAGGGUUCCUGUCCAACGUUAAUCGGGGCAGGGUGAGUCGACCCCUAAGGCGAGGCCGAAAGGCGUAGUCGAUGGGAAACAGGUUAAUAUUCCUGUACUUGGUGUUACUGCGAAGGGGGGACGGAGAAGGCUAUGUUGGCCGGGCGACGGUUGUCCCGGUUUAAGCGUGUAGGCUGGUUUUCCAGGCAAAUCCGGAAAAUCAAGGCUGAGGCGUGAUGACGAGGCACUACGGUGCUGAAGCAACAAAUGCCCUGCUUCCAGGAAAAGCCUCUAAGCAUCAGGUAACAUCAAAUCGUACCCCAAACCGACACAGGUGGUCAGGUAGAGAAUACCAAGGCGCUUGAGAGAACUCGGGUGAAGGAACUAGGCAAAAUGGUGCCGUAACUUCGGGAGAAGGCACGCUGAUAUGUAGGUGAAGUCCCUUGCGGAUGGAGC